Molecule: non-coding RNA, 1798 nt
Organism: Taeniopygia guttata (zebra finch)
Lineage: Eukaryota; Metazoa; Chordata; Aves; Passeriformes; Estrildidae
Source: RefSeq, a predicted model, not a curated record
CUGUCCUGUGUCACGGGUGUCUGCACAUAUUUGUACCGGAGCUGCUCUGCCCUGCUGUGUAGCCUGUAAUAGCACAAGUCCUGGGGACUUGAAAUUAGUAAUGCAGGUUGCAGCUGGGCUCCAGAUUUUAUUAGGAGAUUGACAUAACAUGCUUGGUACUGUUAAGUUGUCCUGUAGAGGUUUGACAUUAGUCCUAACUUCCUUUCAGAUGCAGACAGUACAAAUCGGUGGCAAAGGGCACCAGUCCUGGAUGAGGAACUUCCCAUGAGCUGGAGGUCCAGGCAGAUAGCAGCAGUCAAAGCCCAGUGUGCCAGGGAAUCCACUGGGAGUAUGCUAAGCCCCUGUCAGCAGCUGGCUGAUGGACUGGGUUUGCUGUGCUUGUGAGUCCUCUGGAAGUAUUACAGGACCCUGUGAUGAAGCCUACUGAUUUUGCAUUUCAAGGUCCCAUCCUGGUAGCCCAGAGCAGUGGCCAAGGAGUUGUGGUGAGUCGGGGAGGUAGGGAGGAGGAGUGAGAGUCCACUCAAGUUUCAGCAAUGCCAUGUCACCCUUUCUCCACUUAAUCUAGGUGUACCCUGAGAUGAUGCUGUCGGCCUCCAAGCACGCCUGCGGUGUGUGGCCCGACCAUUCUGAGGAGAAUGGUGAGUAGCAGAAUUGUCAGGUUUUGGCCAUUGUGCUGUUACGGUUGUGCACUGAUGUUUGGUUUUCUUUGUCUUGGCAGACCAAGAGAGAACAGUCUGGUGACAACUGGAGUUUCCCAGACAGGCAGGAGGCCUCGUUCUGCACCCGAUGGAGAUUUGGAUCCCCAGAUAUAUGCCAGAUAAGUCAAGGGCUACAACCCACAGAGGGCAUGGAAGCGAGGUGCCAGGUUGGGACUCCCCAGGAGGGGUUUUUGAGUCAGUUUUGGAUACGGGGAUGUCUAAGAAGCGUCUCCUUAGGCCAGCUGAAGGGAAAGUGUCUGUUUUGAUCACAGUGCUGAGGUGCGCAGGGCAGAGCAGUUCUGGUGUGUGUUCUGUCACUUGUCUCUGGUGCACUCUGUGUUCUUUGGGUCUCUCAGUCCUUUCUUCUCAUCAAAAGCUCUCCCUCCCUGUUCUGUCUCCUGGUUUGUCAUGUCCUGUCCUGUGUCACGGGUGUCUGCACAUAUUUGUACCGGAGCUGCUCUGCCCUGCUGUGUAGCCUGUAAUAGCACAAGUCCUGGGGACUUGAAAUUAGUAAUGCAGGUUGCAGCUGGGCUCCAGAUUUUAUUAGGAGAUUGACAUAACAUGCUUGGUACUGUUAAGUUGUCCUGUAGAGGUUUGACAUUAGUCCUAACUUCCUUUCAGAUGCAGACAGUACAAAUCGGUGGCAAAGGGCACCAGUCCUGGAUGAGGAACUUCCCAUGAGCUGGAGGUCCAGGCAGAUAGCAGCAGUCAAAGCCCAGUGUGCCAGGGAAUCCACUGGGAGUAUGCUAAGCCCCUGUCAGCAGCUGGCUGAUGGACUGGGUUUGCUGUGCUUGUGAGUCCUCUGGAAGUAUUACAGGACCCUGUGAUGAAGCCUACUGAUUUUGCAUUUCAAGGUCCCAUCCUGGUAGCCCAGAGCAGUGGCCAAGGAGUUGUGGUGAGUCGGGGAGGUAGGGAGGAGGAGUGAGAGUCCACUCAAGUUUCAGCAAUGCCAUGUCACCCUUUCUCCACUUAAUCUAGGUGUACCCUGAGAUGAUGCUGUCGGCCUCCAAGCACGCCUGCGGUGUGUGGCCCGACCAUUCUGAGGAGAAUGGUGAGUAGCAGAAUUGUCAGGUUUUGGCCAUUGUGCUGUUACGGUUGUG